UCCGCGGACGGCCGGUCCGGGACCACGAUCACGCCUGUCCGGCGAGACCUUAGCAGUUGGUUCAGACCAAUCCGCGGAUC
This 80-nucleotide transfer RNA is filed under the name Streptomyces xantholiticus. RNAcentral's name for it is "tRNA-Asp". The record is from RNAcentral. Lineage: Bacteria; Bacillati; Actinomycetota; Actinomycetes; Kitasatosporales; Streptomycetaceae.